This 9122-nucleotide long non-coding RNA is filed under the name Homo sapiens (human). RNAcentral describes it as "HSALNT0271929". The record is from RNAcentral. Lineage: Eukaryota; Metazoa; Chordata; Mammalia; Primates; Hominidae.
AAAUACAUUUGUCCUAUGUACGAGGAUGUAAUUACAGCACUGUACUAUUUCUAUUGGUAUAAAACGGAGAAGAUACCAUGUAAAUCUCAGUAAAUGUAAACCUUAGAAAACAGAAAUAAAACAUAAUUUCCACUUUCAAAGGUUUUUAUGACUUGAGUAGACAAAGAGAGGUUGACUUGUGAUUUUCUCACGUUGGUGAUGAGUUUUUGAGUACAUAGGUAAUAUAAGUGAAACUUUGGUUUUACAAUAGUGUACAAAAAGGGUGUGAAAACUAAGAAAUUGGGGAGAUUGGCAAAUAGGCAUCUGCAAUUGUAGGUGCAUGAAGUUAUUAAACUUAAUGGUAUAUUCAACUCCAUAAAAUAGAAAACUUUAUCAAUCAAAAAUAUUUAAAUAUUGGCAAUUGCAAAUGAUUUAAGUAAAUUAAUGGAAGGAGAAAUGACUCUUCUUUUUACCUGAAACAGUUCAAUGUAUUAUAGGUAUAUUUGUGAAAUACAGCCUAAAUUAAUAAAAUAAAACAUGAUAAUUUAUAGGAGCCAAGAGUAAUCAUUUAAAAAGAAAACAUUGAACUGAAUUAAGAUAUUUGUUGAGGUCAGUGUUGGGGGAUACUUCUAGAGCACUAAAAGGACAUUAUAAUCAUCUUCUGCAGGUUGUUCAUGUAUUUCAUUUCCAGUAAAGUGUGGUCAAGACUUUUUUAGUCCUAUGAUGGUUUUAUUGGAUCUAUACUGGUGAAAAAAAAAUCCUUGUCUACAGAAAAAAUUCGUAAGCUUAGAAUGAUUAAUAUACUGUCUCAUUAACAUAGAUUAUGGAGGUUGAAAUUUAACUAGUGUUUUCUUUUUUUUUUUUUUGAGGUGGAAUCUUGCUCUGUUGCCCAGGCUGGAGUGCAGUGGAGAGACCUCAGCUCACUGCCAGCUCUGCCUCCUGGGUGCACACCAUUAUCCUGCUCAGCCUCCCAAGUAGCUGGGACUACAGGCGCCCACCACCACGCCUGGCUAAGUUUUUGUGUUUUUAGUACAGACGGGGUUUCACCGUGGUAGCCAGGAUGGUCUCAAUCUCCUGACUUCAUGAUCCACCUGCCUCGGCCUCCCUAAUAAUAUUUUUAAACACAGUUAACCAGUUUCACAGUGAUAUUUGACUAGAAGCAUUUGGUGUCAUGUUACUGACUAACAGUAUGCAGAUAAUUUUUCUAUUUGGGGAAAAGAAUCAGUAAGGAAAGGCUGUAGAUUUAGUGAGGCUAAUGUUUAGGAGUUAUUCUUUGAAUUUUAAGAAACACAUGAAUAAAACAUAGAAAUUUUUUUUCUACACUGGGUAUGAAAUGAUAGUCAUCUUAACUAGGAUGAAAAAAAUGGGAAAUAAAAAUUAUAUAUAUAAAAAAACAGAAUGGUGAAAAACAUUCAGAUUACUUGAUAAGUAAAGAGAAACACUCCAUUUCAAGUUGCAAAAAUAAGAUUUACAGGAAUGAGCAUUUAGGUAUCCAAAAGGUUCUCAGAGAUUUGAACAAUUUUUAGGCAGUAUAAGAAAUUUUAUUAUACUUAUGGUAAACAAAUUUAUUUAAAAGCUAUAUUUGUUGUUAGUUUGUGACCCAGGGACAUGCUCUGAUCACAUUUUAAAACUUUAGAAAAUAGCAUUGACAUUAGCUUGACAGAUGGAGUGAGCUAUGAUCCCAGAAAUGACUGCAACAGCCCAGUCAAGGAAUGAUAAAUGAUUACACUAAUAAUGUUGUAGUUAAUGGAGUGCAAGUAAUGGAUACAAGUGAUAGGAAAGAAUAUCCUUUGGAUUUGUCCAUAUGUUAUACAAGGUAUGUGGGAAAGAAAAGACUUGGAGAUGAUGCUGAGGUUUGUAACUGGCAUGGAUAAACAGGUGGUGAUACUGUUAACGUAGAAGAAGACAAAUAAAUAAAAAGCUGUGUGUUUUCUGUUACCGUGAAAUUACCACAUAAUAAGUGUCCUAAAAACAACAUGACUUAUUAUUUUAUAGUUGUGGAAGUAAGAUGUCCAAAAUGAGUCUCACUGGUCUAAAAUCAAGGUGUUAGCAGGAUUACAUUCCUUCUGGACAUUCUAAAAAUUCUGUUUCCUUGCAUUUUCCAAAUUCUAGACUCUGUUCAUAUUCCUUAGCUGAAGUGGCCUAGCUCUGUGUCCCCACCCAAAUCGCAUCUCGAAUUUUAAUCCAAAUUGUAAUUCCCACAUUUUGGGGGAGGGAACCUCAUGAAAGGAGAUUAGAUCAUUGGGGCUGUCUUCCCAUGCUGUUCUCAUGACAGUGAGUGCAUUCUCAGGAGAUCUGACGGUUUUAUAAGGGGCCUUUUCCCCACUGCACUUCACUCUCCUGCGGCUGUGUGAAGAAGAACGUAUUUGCUUCCCUUUCUGCCAUGACUGUAAGUCUCCUGAGGCCUCACCAUACAUGCAUAACUGUGAGUCAAUUAAACCUCUUUCCUUUAUAAAUUACCCAGUCUUGGGCAUUUCUUCAUUGCAACAUGACAAUGAACUAAUAUAGUAAAUUGGUACCAGGAGUGGGAUGCUGCUAUAAAGAGAUCCAAAAAUGUGGAAGCAACUGUGGAACUGAGUAAUAGGCAGAGAUUAGAGCAGUUUGGAAGGCUCAGAAGGAGACAGGAAAAUGUGGGAAAGUUUGGAACUUCCUAGAGACUUUGUUGAAUGUCUUUGACCAAAAUGCUGAUAGUGAUAUGGGCAAUAAAGUCCAGACUGAACUGGUCUCAGAUGGAGAUGAAGAACUUGUUGGAAGCUGGAAUAAAUGUGCCUCUUGUUUUGCUUUAGCAAAGAGACUGGAGGCAUUUUGCUCCUGCCCUAGAGAUCCACGGAAAUUUGAACUUGAGAGAUAUGAUUUAGGGUAUUUGGCAGAAGAAAUUUCUAAGCAGUAAAGCAUUCAAAGGGUGACAGGGCUUAAAAGUUUGGAAAAUUUGCAGCCUGAUAAUGCAGUAGAAAAGAAAAAAUAUAUUCCUUGGGAGAAAUUCAAGCUGGCUACAGAAAUUUGCAUAAGCAACUAGGAGCCAAAUGCUAAUCACCAUGACAAUGGGAAAAUGUCUCCAGGCAUGUCAGAUAUCUUCAGGGCAGCCCCUCCCAUCACAGGCCAGGGGUCUAAGAGGGAAAAAUGGUUUUCUGGGCUUGGUGCAGGGCCCCUCUGCUGUGUGCAGCCUCAGGACUUAGUGCCCUGCAUCCCAGCCACUCCAUCCAUGGCUAAAAAUGGCCAAGGUACAGCUAAGGCCAUUGCUUCAGGGGGUGAAAGCCCCAAGCCUUGGUAGCUUCCACAUAGUGUUGGGCCUGCAGUUGCAAAGAAGACAAGAAUUGAGAUCUGUUACCUCCAUCUAGAUUUCAGAAGAUGUAUAGGAAUGCUGGAUGUCCAGACAGAAUUUUGCUACAGAGGCAGAGCCCUCAGGGAGAACCUCUGCUAGGGAAGUGUGAAAGGGAAAUGUGGAGUUGGAGCCCCUACACAGAGUUCCCACCAGGGCACUGCCUAAUGGGACUGUGAGAAGAAGGCUACCAUCCUCCAGACCACAGAAUGAUAGAUCCACUGACAGCUUGCAUUGUGUGCCUAAAAAUGCCCCAGGCACUCAACACCAGCCUAUGAAAGCAGCCAGAACAGGGGCUGUACCCUGCAAAGUAACAUCGGCAGAGCUAUCCAUGGCUGUGGGAGCCCACUUCUUGCAUCAGCAUGACUUUUAUGUGAGGCAUGAAGUCAAAGGAGAUCAUUUUGGAAUUUUAAAGUUAAUGAAUUCCCUAUUGGAUGUUAGACUUGCAUGGGGCCUCUAGCCCCUUUGUUUUGGCCAAUUUCUCCCAUUUGGAAUGGGCAUAUUUACCCAAUGCCUGUACCUCCAUUGUAUCUAGGAAGUAACUUACUUGCUUUCAAUUUUACAGGCUCAUAGUUAGAAGGGACUUGCCUUGUCUCAGAUAAGACUAUGGACUUAGACUUUGAGUUAAUGCUGAAAUGAGUUAAGACUUUGGGGAUCUGUUAGGAAGGCAUAAGUGUGUUUUGAAAUGUGAGGAAGAUGAGAUUUGGGAGGGGCAAGGGACAGAAUGAUAUGGUCUGGCUCUGAGUCUCCACCCAAAUCUCAUCUUGAAUUUUAAUCCUAAUUGUAAUUCCCAUGUGUCGGGGGAGAGACCGAGUGGGAGGUGAUUACAUAAUGGGGACAGUUCCCCCAUGCUGUUCUCAUGAUAGUGAGUGAGUUCUCACAAGAUCUAAUGGUUCUAUAAGGGACUUUUUCCCCUUCGAUCUGCACUUCUCUCUCUCCUGCCUAAGACCUCCGCAGCCAUGCAAAACUAUGAGUCAAUGAAACUCUUUCCUUUAUAAAUUACCCAAUCUUGGAUAUUUCUUCAAAGCAGCAUGAAAACAAACUAAUGCAUUGGCCCAUAACACCCUUCCAUCUUCAAAGUCAGAAAUGGCAGGUGGCAUCUUUCUCACAAUGCCAUCUCUCUGGUUGGACUCUUAUGUGCCCCUCUUCCUCUUUUACAAGUAUCACUGGAGUAACACUGCAAUGGCAUUUCCCUUUAAGAUAAAUGGGUUAGUAAUCUUAAUCCCUUUGCAAUAUUAAUUCCCCUUUGCCAUAGAACAUGACACAUCCAGGGGUUCCAGGGCUAAGGAUAUGAAUAUCUUUGGGGUCUGUUUUUCUGCCAAAGAGGCACAUUAUAGUGUAGCCAAUAAGGGACAGCAAAAGAAUGAAAGUAGCUUUCAAACACACUGAUUUUAAGAUUCUGGCUCUAUAGCCACAUAAAAAUUUCUAGGAAGGACUUAAAGAGUUAGAUACACUCCAUAAUAGAAUUUGCUUUCAACUUUUUAAAUCGUGCCAUCCUACCUUUGCACAGACACUGCUGCAACUACAUAAAAGCCUACUUUUGAGAGUUGGCCAUUUUCACUCUCUGGUUUAUGUAUAUUGGUUUUCUAUUGCUGCAAAAAAUUACCUCAAACUUAGCACCUUAAAAAAAUAGCCAUUAUACCUCAUACUUCCAGGUCAGAAUUCCAGCACAGUUUGGCUUGUGUGUUCACAGUAUCAUAAAACUGAAAUCAAAGUGUCAGUCCGGCUGAAUUCUCAUUGUUAGGCUACAUGGAAAUGUGUGUUGCCAAGCUCGUUCUUGUAGGUAGAAUCUAGCUCCUUGCAAUUAUGAGACCAUUCCUCAUCCCCAUGUUUGCUGUCAAUCAAGUGCUGCUCUCAGUCUCUAGAGGUUACCUACAUUUCUUGUCCGUGGUCUUGCGGUCUCCAUAAUCUCCAAGCCAGCAAGAACACAUAAAUAUGUCUGCUUUCGGUCUCCAAUUUCCCUUCUGCAAUCAGCAGGAGGAAACUCUAUGCUUUAAAAGGGCAUGUGAUUAGGCCUGGAUCAUCUCCCUAUCUCAUGGUCAACCUUGCCCUAUAGUACAGGCUAAAUCAGAUUACUCAUGCAAGUAAAAUCUAUUACUUUCAGAGUUCAGAGAAUUAAACAAGAUGUGUACACCUGAGGAGUGGAAGUCGUGAGGCAAUCUUAGAAUUCUGCCUAUCAUACUCAGCAUUACUGCUUCCUCAUUUCCCAUGAUACAACUACUUCUAAUCUUUGCACCUGAAAUCUUGACUUUUGUGUCUACCUUGACCAUGGCUCUCUUGCCUGAUAAUAUCAAUAUCUUUAAUCCAACUUUAUCAACCAUAUCUGUGAGCAAGUCAUUCUCCUGCCUUCUAUCAUCCCCCUCCCACUCCAUAGCAUAGAGAGCUUGGCCAGUCUUCUUUUUUUUUUUCCUGAACAUAAGAAAACUGCACAUUAUUGAUGGAAUCUUGAGUUAUAGCCCUAAGUUUGGAAUUGUCAGUGUAGUGUUGACAGAAGAUGGAAUUAAAAACAAGGGAUGCAAAAGAUCUGAGAUUUUCUCUGGAGCAAGUGUAGAGGUAAAAAGAGAAAAAUGUGAAGAGAAAGAAGAGGAGGAGGAGCACGUGUAAAGAAGGGAAAGGCAAUAGCUGAGAAAGGAACUUGGAAGAACCCAUCACUCACUGGUCAGUAGCUAAAGACGUUGUGCAGACAAUGUGCAGAUAUAACAACCUCAAAAUACUUUUAGGUUGAAAGAACUUAAACAUUGUUUACAAGUUUGCUUCUUUGAAACUAAAAAAUAUUUUUAAUUAAAAAUUGGAACACAUAUAGAUGUAGUCGUUCGUUAGAAAGCAUAUUCUCAACUUUUCAGACUUAGAUUGGUUGGAGAGGUUUCCCUGGGAGCCUCUUCCUAAAAGGUGACAAGGAGGCGUGGGGAAGGGAAUAGACAUUUGUUCUGAGUACGACGGGAAACAUUGCUGUGCAAAUGUUUAGAGCUGAAUGAAAAACCAAGUCACAUACAGGCAAAAUGCAGAGGAAAGAGAUAAUAAAUAAAUGAUUGAGGGUUAGAAACAAAUGAAUGAGAAUUAAAAGUCAGCUUUCUAUUCCUCAUGCCAGUGACUAGCUAAGAUAUGAGCAUUUUUUGUUUGUUUUUAUAGGAAUCCAGACAACACAUUUUCUUGCUUAACGAGGUUUGUCAGAGUCGGGCUGAAUAAGAGUUUUAAUUAGCUAGUAGGGUUAAUUUUAUCUUAUGCUUCUUGAAGUGGAAACAAGUAACAAGGAAAUGUAAAGAACUUAGAUACUGGCCGGGCACCGUGGCUCACGCCUGUAAUCUCAGCACUUUGGGAAGUCAAGGCAGAUGGAUUGCUUGAGGCCAGGAGUUCGAGACAAGCCUGGGCAACAUAUUGAAACCCCAUCUCUACUAAAAAUACAAAAAUUAGCCUUCUGUGGUGGUGCACACCUGUAGUUCCAGCUACUCUGGAGGCUGAGGCAUGAGAAUCGCUUGAACUAAGAGGCGGAGUUUCCACUGAGCUGAGAUUGUGCCAUUGCACUCCAGCCUGGUCAACAAAGAGAGACUCUGUCGCACAAAAAAAAAAUAAAGAAAGAAAGAAAAGAGAAAAUAAUUUAGAUACUUAGUAUCCUGUUGAGGCAAAAGGGAAGCUUAUUUUAACAGUACAUUUUUAUGUCACAGCUGAACAGCUCUGUCUAUAGCUUGGCUGGGCAGCUUCAUUAUUUAACAGAAUUGUGGGAGUGGGGGUAGCGCCUGGGUGGCUUCAGCCUGGGAUACGCGAAUAUGAGGUCAUGAUGAGAAAGAGAGAUUUGAUUAUGUGGGUCAUAAAAGUGGUCAUUACCAACCUCCCACAUUUGUGGAAAUGUAUCUCUCUUUCCACAGGGACUGCCUGAAAUGAAAAGUGGCUCUUUAGAAACAAGGAGGAUUUUAUCGCUCAGGCAGAAGCCUCAUAAAGGCUGCCAUGAGAUUUGCCUCGAACAGUUAGGAAGGCACCUUCAUCACAGAAGGCCUGCAAAGCUCAGAGUAAAGUGCCCAUGAGAAACCGCGGAGACAAUUAACCCCUUAUAAUAUUUCUGAAAGGAAAUAUCCAGAAUCCUGGAAGAAGAAAAUUAUCUUGUUUAAAUAGCUUUUAAUUAACUGCAAGGAACCAUGAAACCGUUUUGAGUGGAGUCAAAAGGGGCCAUUUGAGCCGCAGAGGUACUUGGCUGUACACGGCAGCCUCCUGGGGAGAUUGCUUUGCUGUCCUAUUAGAAUUCUUUUCCAGGGUUAAGGGUCAUUUUAAAGAUCCCCAUAUGGUAUUUCCAUACUCACCAAGAAAUGACACUAGUUAAAAUUACAGGAACUUAUUUUGUCCUGUUUAUUUGCUAUCAAGUGUGUUCAAAAUAUAUAUUCGAUGCUUUGUGAAGUGUGGCUUGACCAAGCUUCACAGGUCUUUACAUUUGCAGCAGUAUUUCGAGUAGACAAAAGAGAUGAAGACCAGUCAUCUUGCCCCAUUAUAUAUUAUUUCAUAGCCUCUAAACCUGAUUAAGUUGCUCUCAACUGUAGUAAAGAAAAGGACUGUAACUGCCUACCUCAAAAAGGAAAAUGUGUAGCUUUUGAUAGAUGGGAUAAAGAGACAUGUACAACCAAUAGAUAUGGUUUUAUUGUUAGUAUAAGAAACUUGUGACUUCAGCUAAUAUUGGCUAAAGUCAUUAAUACUGUUUUUUUUUCUUUCUCAGACACUAUCCCAACAACCAAAACAUUGAACUUUCGUGGCAAGCUUUGGUAGCACACAGGCCUUCAGCUAUUUUACUGUAGUGCAUAUGUUAUGUGUCCACAAAGCUACGAACAAUUUUUGCUUAAGGAAAUUGACUUUUCAUUGUGAUGAAAAUCCACGAGGACAGGAGAAAAAAAGGAGAAAAGGCCAAGAAGAAGAAAAGAAAUGUGUUUCUUACAUUCUGAGGAAAAUCAGCAGAAUAUGUGAAGUUUUUUGUUUAGUUUUUUUUUAAUUCCUGUUGCAGAUAACUUUUUUGCCUCAUUGAGAAAGAUGACUUCUGUAAAUCAUAACCCUGUAUGCUAACAGCUAGUGAUCCAAAAUGAAGACAGUUUUCCCCACCAUUUCCAGCAGGAGAGUCCAUUGGAUGAUUCUCACCAUGUCUGGGUCCUUGUGCCCAGGUUUCAGUCAAUUGCUCCUCCCAAAGGGUUGCGGUGUGAUCACUGGCCUAGCACAGCUUAAAUGCUCGGGCUUGUUGUCAUGGAGAACAAAAUACAAAGAAUGAUGAUUCCAGCAAGACCACAGGUGAAAUAUAUUCCGACGAAGAAUGAGAAAUCUAUAGCAUAAUUUGAAUUGUUGAAAACAAGGAAAGAAAUAUCAAAGGAUGCCAUUUAUAGGAUAAGAAUAGGAGGUAAUUGAAAAUUCGAUUUUAUUAGGGCAAAAGCUAACAGUUUGAAACCAGUAUAAAGCACUGGGUGUCUGGGAGAAAAGGAAAAGGAAAGGAAGUUGGGAAGGACCUCAGGCCUAAGAAUGCACAAAUGUCAUUUAUGUGGAAAUUGCACCUUCAAUUUUAAUACCAACUGAUAUCUGAUGUUUCACAGAUAUAUUAUUAUUAAUUAGAGAUGUUACAAAAUUCUGCCUAAGCAAACCCAUCUCUCCAGAUCAGGUGUAUAUUUCUAGCCAAAUUCUACUCCUAUGUGAAAGGAUACAAAGCAAAAUAAAAUAAAAUCAAGAAAUACGAAUACCCAUGUCAAGUCUCAUAUUCUUUAUCUUUGGCCAUUUCGUCUACAUUUUCCACAAUUUUUUAACCUCUCUGUUCAUGAUCUAUUUUUAAAAGUAUAAAAUUCUUCAAUGCCCAGUUUGUUGACAC